RNAcentral lists this ribosomal RNA (305 nucleotides) under uncultured bacterium. RNAcentral's name for it is "bacterial SSU rRNA". It matches the Rfam family "Bacterial small subunit ribosomal RNA", at positions 337 to 656 of the family's 1533-position model. The record is from RNAcentral.
GCCUACGGGGGGCAGCAGUGGGGAAUAUUGCACAAUGGGGGGAACCCUGAUGCAGCAAUGCCGCGUGAAGGAUGAAGGUUUUCGGAUUGUAAACUUCUUUUGUACGGGACGAAGAAAGUGACGGUACCGUAAGAAUAAGCCACGGCUAACUACGUGCCAGCAGCCGCGGUAAUACGUAGGUGGCAAGCGUUAUCCGGAUUUAUUGGGUGUAAAGGGCGUGUAGGCGGGAAUGCAAGUCAGAUGUGAAAAAUAUGGGCUCAACCCAUAGCCUGCAUUUGAAACUGUAUUUCUUGAGUGCUGGAGAG